RNAcentral lists this transfer RNA (85 nucleotides) under Felis catus (domestic cat). It matches the Rfam family "tRNA". From Rfam's summary of the family: Transfer RNA (tRNA) molecules are approximately 80 nucleotides in length. Their secondary structure includes four short double-helical elements and three loops (D, anti-codon, and T loops). The record is from Rfam by way of RNAcentral. Lineage: Eukaryota; Metazoa; Chordata; Mammalia; Carnivora; Felidae.
GCCUGGGUGGCUCAGUUGGUUAAGCAUCUGACUUGGGCUCAGGUCAUGAUCUCACGGUUUGUGGGUUCGAGCCCUGCAUCGGGCU